GAGCUUUUUACUCCUGGUGACUGCUGGAUUUGCUACGUAACGCCUGCUUGGAUAUACAGUUACUCUUGAAGGAUUACUCCUCAUCCUGCCUCACCCUCGGCUCAGUAAAUGUCGAGGGGUUCUCGAUUAGCCAAGAAAAGACUUGCAUGAAACCCCAAGCAUAGGCUUAAGGCCGGUUCACAUCGUUUCAUUCUAUCCAUAAAUUCGAUUUGAUACGAGCCAAUGUACCGAGAUAAAGCGGUCGAGUCCUAAGAUGCACCCCACCCCCAUUCUCUCUCUCUCUCUCUCUCUCUCUCUCUCUCUCUCUCUCUCUCUCUCUCUCACCGUUAUCCCUAUAUUAAAGGGUCGGUUGCCUGAUGCGCCUUCUCCUCCACUGUCUUCUAUCAAAGGCAUCAUCCUCCACCGAACCUCUUCUCUUUUAUCUUCCUUCACUUCAUCUCACCGUCUAAUUCACUCUCCCCCUCUCGAUCUUCUUCCUCUCACAGGUUCCUCCCAAGCCCUCUUCACUCUCUUCACUCCCUCCUCCUCGUUAUCCUUGCUCAACACCACAUGCCCAACCAUCUCAAUCGUGAUUCUUAUCACAUCUGUAAUCUUUACUAAGCUUUCCUGCCCUUCUUCUUAUUGAGUCAUUUUCCAAUCUCUCUCUCUCGAGCAGCGAUAGCUAUUCCCACAAUCCCCCUCCUCAGCAUUCUCAUCUCUGUUCUCAAGCCUUAUACUUCCUCUUGUCUUCUUAGAGAGGCCAUGUCUCCGAUCCAUUCAUUAACACUGGUCUUAUCACUGUGCUUAUUAUAGGACCAUAGAACUAAGAUAUGGGUUGUAUCAAAGCGACUGAAUAGAUGUAUGGAAACGACUGUAGGAACCAGGAACCAUAGACCAAGAACCAGGAAUCGAAAAACAAGGACCAGAAACCAGGAGCCGAGAAAUAAGAACCAGGAACCGAGAAACGAGGACCAGGUACCAGAAGUCAAGAACCAGGGACCACGAACCAUGGACCAGGAAACAUGAACCAGAGACCAUGGACCAGGGAAAAGGAACCACCAACUAGCGACCGGAAUUCAGGAAUCAUUCAUCAUGAACCAAGAAGAACCAGGAACCAUGGACCAAGAAUCAUGGACUAGACCAGGAAACAAGAACCACGAACCAUGGACGAAGAAGCAGGGGCCACGAACCAUGGACUAGGAAACAGGAAUAAGUGAUCAUGAACCAAGAACCAGGAACCAUGGACCAGGAAUCAGGAACAAUGGACGAAGAAGCAGGGACCACGAACCAUGGCUAGGAAACAGGAGCCAGUAACCAUGACCAACCAGGAACUAUGGACCAGGAAUCAGGAAAAAUGGACCAAGAACCAGGGACCAGGAACCAGCUAUAGGAUACUGCUCAACCCUCACUACGUGGCAGGAACCAGUCGUUAUAUUCGGGAGUUAUUCUUUUAUCUGCUCUAGUAAUCUAAAACGUGAGGAGCCCAUUAAUUAUUCUGUUGAUAAUUCAAGGGUGAAUGCGAAUGUCAAUAUAUUUAUAUUUAGUAAAAUAUGCAUCGUUCAUUUCAUCUACAGAAAUAACGAGAGAGAGAGAGAGAGAGAGAGAGAGAGAGAGAGAGAGAGAGAGAGAGAGAGAGAGAGAGAGAGAGAGAGAGAGAACUAGCUUAUUUAAAAGUAAGAAAUUUGAGAUAGAAAUAGGUUAAUAAAAUUUGCACCGGAAUGACUUAUAAAUAUUUUACUAGAAAUCCUAUUUUAUAUUAUAAAACAUGAUUGAAGUCAGAGAAACUGAAUUUAUUUAAUUCUUAAGUAUAAAGUCUGUAUAAAAAUGGUGUAUUGAAUGUGAGAUAGUCGAUCUCUAAUGAACAUUUGCACAGAGUGACAUUCGUAUAAACCUCAUUCAAUUCAUCAUCUGAUAUAUGUUAGAUAUCAAAUGCCGGGUUUGUCUUAUUGAAUUUGUGAUAUAUAUUUAUUUUGCCUAUGAGUCUGACUUAUUCUUUUUUUGUCGUUUUUGGUUUAAGCUGGAAUUACGCCAGCACGGGCUCUUGCUCAUAAGGCAAUGCAGCAAUGUAGCAAUCGUGAUUUGAUGAAAAAAUUGUGAAUAAAAUAUCAAAUGC
Macrobrachium nipponense is the source of this 2092-nucleotide long non-coding RNA. RefSeq lists it as uncharacterized. The transcript has 2 exons. The record is from RefSeq and is a predicted model, not a curated record. NCBI's taxonomy places the organism in Eukaryota, Metazoa, Arthropoda, Malacostraca, Decapoda, Palaemonidae.